This 497-nucleotide ribosomal RNA is filed under the name uncultured bacterium. Its description in RNAcentral is "partial 16S ribosomal RNA". It matches the Rfam family "Bacterial small subunit ribosomal RNA", at positions 28 to 507 of the family's 1533-position model. The record is from RNAcentral.
GAUGAACGCUGGCGGCGUGCCUAAUACAUGCAAGUCGAGCGAACAGACGAGGAGCUUGCUCCUCUGACGUUAGCGGCGGACGUGUGUGUAACACGUGGAUAACCUCCCUAUAAGACUGGGAUAACUUCGGGACACCGGAGCUAAUACCGGAUAAUAUAUUGAUCCGCAUGGUGCAAUAGUGAAUGACGGUUUUGCUGUCACUUAUAGAUGGAUCCGCGCCGUAUUAGCUAGUUGGUAAGGUAACGGGUUACCAAGGCAACGAUGCGUAGCCGAACUGAGAGGCGGAUAGGCCACCUUGGAACUUGAACACGCUCCAUACUCCUACGGGAGGCAGCAGUAGGGAAUCGUCCGCAAUGGGCGGAAGCCUGACGGAGUAACGCCGCGUGAGUGAUGAAGGUCUUCGGAUCGUAAAACUCGGUUAUUAGGGAAGAACAAAUGUGUAAGGAAAUAUACACGUCUUGACGGUACCUAAUCAGAAAGCCACGGCUAACUACGUG